RNAcentral lists this long non-coding RNA (817 nucleotides) under Triticum aestivum (bread wheat). RNAcentral's name for it is "long non-coding RNA (TAES_LNC004545)". Lineage: Eukaryota; Viridiplantae; Streptophyta; Magnoliopsida; Poales; Poaceae. The record is from RNAcentral.
ACGCAGCAGCACGACGCCGGAUGGCACGGCCUCCGGCUGGGCGACGAGGACGAGCGCGCGGUGAAGGAGCGCGCGGCGGAGAAGGCGGCGUCCGUCUACUUCGAGGAGAAGGACCGGCUGGCCAAGGAGCGCGCGGCGGAGCGGGUGGACAAAUGCGUCGAGAAGUGCGUGGAAGGGUGCGCCGGCUCCUCCUGCGCCCACCGCAAGGGCAAGAUGUGAGCGGCCGGGCGUCCCACGUGACCGACCGCGGGCGCGUCCUCGGUGCGACGUGCACACGUAUCGCGUUCUCGUGCCAUCCAUGCCGUCACUCCGAGCAUGGCGGCGACAAUAAACUUUAACUCCUAGUGGAGGUCCAGUAGAGCCUUCGUUUUCAAGUUUCUUUUACUACCACCUUUUGUCUAAGUAGUGUAGUGUGUGCGCGUCCCUUAGUUUGAAUCCAUAAAUGUCCUUCGGUUUCAAGUUUCUUUUACUACCACCUUUUGUCUAAGUGGUGUGUGUUCGUCCCUUAGUUUGGUGAAUCCGUAAAUGCUCUACUGCUUUGUUUUAGAAUCUCCGGUGUCUUCGUAUACCUUUUGCAUGACCUGUGUGUACUGUCUGCGUGAGUCUGGCGUCUCGUAUUGGUGUCUGUCUACCUCAGGACUAGUCUACGUGUGUGUGUUGUGUGCACCGAGGCGUACACAUCCAUAUUUUUUCCUUUAGCGAGGGGAUGCCGUCAUGGCUACUGUAUUGAUCUGAUAAUAUCAGUACAUCCUUCACAAAAGGAGCUUACAAAGAAAAUCAGAGAAUUCCCCCCUGCAAAAAAAAAACCCAGAGAAUU